This 636-nucleotide ribosomal RNA is filed under the name uncultured Lachnospiraceae bacterium. Its description in RNAcentral is "bacterial SSU rRNA". It matches the Rfam family "Bacterial small subunit ribosomal RNA", at positions 81 to 731 of the family's 1533-position model. The record is from RNAcentral. Lineage: Bacteria; Bacillati; Bacillota; Clostridia; Lachnospirales; Lachnospiraceae.
UUCUUUCCAUCUUAGUGGCGGACGGGUGAGUAACGUGUGGGCAACCUGCCCUGUACUGGGGAAUAAUCAUUGGAAACGAUGACUAAUACCGCAUGUGGUCCUCGGAAGGCAUCUUCUGAGGAAGAAAGGAUUUAUUCGGUACAGGAUGGGCCCGCAUCUGAUUAGCUAGUUGGUGAGAUAACAGCCCGCCAAGGCGACGAUCAGUAGCCGACCUGAGAGGGUGAUCGGCCACAUUGGGACUGAGACACGGCCCAAACUCCUACGGGAGGCAGCAGUGGGGAAUAUUGCACAAUGGGCGAAAGCCUGAUGCAGCAACGCCGCGUGAAGGAUGAAGGGUUUCGGCUCGUAAACUUCUAUCAAUAGGGAAGAAACAAAUGACGGUACCUAAAUAAGAAGCCCCGGCUAACUACGUGCCAGCAGCCGCGGUAAUACGUAGGGGGCAAGCGUUAUCCGGAAUUACUGGGUGUAAAGGGAGCGUAGGCGGCAUGGUAAGCCAGAUGUGAAGCCUUGGGCUUAACCCGAGGAUUGCAUUUGGAACUAUCAAGCUAGAGUACAGGAGAGGAAAGCGGAAUUCCUAGUGUAGCGGUGAAAUGCGUAGAUAUUAGGAAGAACACCAGUGGCGAAGGCGGCUUUCUG